RNAcentral lists this transfer RNA (99 nucleotides) under Blastocatellia bacterium. RNAcentral describes it as "tRNA-Sec". It matches the Rfam family "Selenocysteine transfer RNA". Lineage: Bacteria; Pseudomonadati; Acidobacteriota; Blastocatellia. The record is from RNAcentral.
GGAGGCGCAUCCCGUCCGGUGGCGGGCGCGGUCUUCAAAACCGUCUGCGGGUGCGCGAGAGCGUACCCGGGUGGGUUCGACUCCCACACGCCUCCGCCA